Molecule: ribosomal RNA, 206 nt
Filed under: uncultured bacterium
Lineage: Bacteria
Description: partial 16S ribosomal RNA
Rfam family: Bacterial small subunit ribosomal RNA
Source: RNAcentral
UACGGAGGGUGCAAGCGUUAUCCGGAUUCACUGGGUUUAAAGGGUGCGUAGGUGGGUUGGUAAGUCAGUGGUGAAAUCUCCGUGCUUAACAUGGAAACUGCCAUUGAUACUACUGAUCUUGAAUUUUCAGGAGGUAAGCGGAAUAUGUCAUGUAGCGGUGAAAUGCUUAGAUAUGACAUAGAACACCAAUUGCGAAGGCAGCUUAC